AAGUCGUAACAAGGUUUCCGUAGGUGAACCUGCGGAAGGAUCAUUAUCGAGAAGUCACAUGUGUGGCCUUCCCCCCUCUUGUGAAUGAAAACUGUGCACUGUGUGCUGCUCAUAUAAAACUUUCAACAACGGAUCUCUUGGCUCCG
The sequence is an unclassified non-coding RNA, 146 nucleotides long. The stretch from base 1 to 46 matches the Rfam family "Eukaryotic small subunit ribosomal RNA", at positions 1786 to 1831 of the family's 1831-position model.